GAUGAACGCUAGCGGCAGGCCUAACACAUGCAAGUCGAGGGAGGAGCCUUCGGGCUUCGACCGGCGUACGGGUGCGUAACGCGUAUACAAUCUGCCUUUCACAUAGGGAUAGCCCGAAGAAAUUUGGAUUAAUACCUAAUGGUAUAUAGGGGUGGCAUCACCUUUAUAUUAAAGCUGAGGCGGUGAAAGAUGAGUAUGCGUUCUAUUAGCUAGUUGGAGAGGUAACGGCUCCCCAAGGCGACGAUAGAUAGGGGUUCUGAGAGGGAUAUCCCCCACACUGGUACUGAGAUACGGACCAGACUCCUACGGGAGGCAGCAGUGAGGAAUAUUGGACAAUGGUCGGAAGACUGAUCCAGCCAUGCCGCGUGCAGGAAGACGGCCUUAUGGGUUGUAAACUGCUUUUGCAGGGGAAGAAUAAGGAGUACGUGUACUUUGAUGACGGUACUCUGCGAAUAAGCAUCGGCUAACUCCGUGCCAGCAGCCGCGGUAAUACGGAGGAUGCGAGCGUUAUCCGGAAUCAUUGGGUUUAAAGGGUCCGUAGGCGGGCUAAUAAGUCAGAGGUGAAAGCGCUCAGCUCAACUGAGCAACUGCCUUUGAAACUGUUAGUCUUGAAUGGUUGUGAAGUAGUUGGAAUGUGUAGUGUAGCGGUGAAAUGCUUAGAUAUUACACAGAACACCGAUAGCGAAGGCAUAUUGCUAACAAUUAAUUGACGCUGAUGGACGAAAGCGUGGGGAGCGAACAGG
RNAcentral lists this ribosomal RNA (743 nucleotides) under uncultured Capnocytophaga sp. RNAcentral's name for it is "bacterial SSU rRNA". It matches the Rfam family "Bacterial small subunit ribosomal RNA", at positions 28 to 776 of the family's 1533-position model. The record is from RNAcentral. Lineage: Bacteria; Pseudomonadati; Bacteroidota; Flavobacteriia; Flavobacteriales; Flavobacteriaceae.